UACGUAGGGGGCGAGCGUUGUCCGGAGUUACUGGGCGUAAAGGGCGUGUAGGCGGUUCUGCGCGUGUCGGGUGCCAGCGGAGGGCUUACCUCUCCGAGUGCUCGGCAGACGGCAGGGCUGGAGGGCUUCAGAGGGAGAGGGAAUUCCGGGUGGAGCGGUGAAAUGCGUAGAGAUCCGGAGGAACACCACAGGCGAAGGCACUCUCCUGGGAAGUACCUGACGCUGAGGCGCGAAAGCCAGGGGAG
This 245-nucleotide ribosomal RNA is filed under the name uncultured bacterium. Its description in RNAcentral is "partial 16S ribosomal RNA". It matches the Rfam family "Bacterial small subunit ribosomal RNA", at positions 524 to 768 of the family's 1533-position model. The record is from RNAcentral.